Molecule: long non-coding RNA, 734 nt
Organism: Hipposideros armiger (great roundleaf bat)
Lineage: Eukaryota; Metazoa; Chordata; Mammalia; Chiroptera; Hipposideridae
Exons: 3
Source: RefSeq, a predicted model, not a curated record
GCUGUCAGCAGUGGACUCUAACCCAAGGCAGAAUGAGUUGGCUUAAACUGGGGAAGAAAAUACAAAAGUGUCUAGGAAAAGGAAAGCUUUUAUAAAAGACGGAACAUUUAACAGGCUUCGUUCCCACGGGCCCUGCCCAGAAGAUGGAAAUAGCUCUGCAGAAAGGGCUGGACGCAUACGCUGCCCUUGGCCACCAGAGGGCGCCAGACCCACCUGCACGGGUACACUGCGGAACGACCUGGGAAGCUCGAGCCAUCCUCCCCAACGCAGCACGCCAGAGAAAGGAACUGGAACACCGCAGGCCAGUGUUUCCAAACCAGCACCUGGCUCCCAGCAUGUUCACUAACCCAGGUCCUGGGGGCUUUUAAAAGGAAUGGCAGGCUGUGGCCAACUCAAGAGCAGGAGCCAUGUCUUCGUAAGCACACUGAGUAUCAGACCCAUGGUGGAUGAGCGACAAAUGUUUGUGACAUAAUGUGUUUAUUCAUUCAUUUAUUCAUUUUUGCAUGCACUCAAUAAAUGAAGAUGAUGACUGACAGGAAGGUAUAGAAUUGGCAGAGAAGAGGAAUUACUUAGGAAGAGGGGAAAGAGAAUAGGAGGAGACAGAAUCAAAAGUAGGGGAGGGCCGGCCAAGUGGCUCAGUUGGUUAAGAGCAGUAGUGCUGCUGGUUCAAAUAUCAUAUGGGCCAGUGAACUGCACUUAAGCUGCCAACAGGUGGCAGGAUGGCUCAGCUGGUG